AGCUUUGCGCAGUGGCAGUAUCGUAGCCUAUGAGGUUUAUCCGAGGCGCGAUUAUUGCUAGUUGAAAACUUUACCCAAUACCCCGCCGUGACGACUUGAAAUAUAGUCGGCAUUGGCAAUUUUUGACGGUCUUUACGGAGA
Esox lucius (northern pike) is the source of this 141-nucleotide small nuclear RNA. Its record names the gene U4. It matches the Rfam family "U4 spliceosomal RNA". From Rfam's summary of the family: U4 small nuclear RNA (U4 snRNA) is a component of the major U2-dependent spliceosome. The structure of U4 snRNA from yeast and human has been reported. NCBI's taxonomy places the organism in Eukaryota, Metazoa, Chordata, Actinopteri, Esociformes, Esocidae. The record is from Ensembl.